CAGGAUGAACGCUAGCUACAGGCUUAACACAUGCAAGUCGAGGGGCAGCAUUUCAGUUUGCUUGCAAACUGGAGAUGGCGACCGGCGCACGGGUGAGUAACACGUAUCCAACCUGCCGAUAACUCGGGGAUAGCCUUUCGAAAGAAAGAUUAAUACCCGAUGGUAUAAUCAGACCGCAUGGUCUUGUUAUUAAAGAAUUUCGGUUAUCGAUGGGGAUGCGUUCCAUUAGGCAGUUGGUGAGGUAACGGCUCACCAAACCUUCGAUGGAUAGGGGUUCUGAGAGGAAGGUCCCCCACAUUGGAACUGAGACACGGUCCAAACUCCUACGGGAGGCAGCAGUGAGGAAUAUUGGUCAAUGGGCGCAGGCCUGAACCAGCCAAGUAGCGUGAAGGAUGACUGCCCUAUGGGUUGUAAACUUCUUUUAUAUGGGAAUAAAGUUUUCCACGUGUGGAAUUUUGUAUGUACCAUAUGAAUAAGGAUCGGCUAACUCCGUGCCAGCAGCCGCGGUAAUACGGAGGAUCCGAGCGUUAUCCGGAUUUAUUGGGUUUAAAGGGAGCGUAGGUGGACAGUUAAGUCAGUUGUGAAAGUUUGCGGCUCAACCGUAAAAUUGCAGUUGAUACUGGCUGUCUUGAGUACAGUAGAGGUGGGCGGAAUUCGUGGUGUAGCGGUGAAAUGCUUAGAUAUCACGAAGAACUCCGAUUGCGAAGGCAGCUCACUGGACUGCAACUGACACUGAUGCUCGAAAGUGUGGGUAUCAAACAGGAUUAGAUACCCUGGUAGUCCACACAGUAAACGAUGAAUACUCGCUGUUUGCGAUAUACAGUAAGCGGCCAAGCGAAAGCAUUAAGUAUUCCACCUGGGGAGUACGCCGGCAACGGUGAAACUCAAAGGAAUUGACGGGGGCCCGCACAAGCGGAGGAACAUGUGGUUUAAUUCGAUGAUACGCGAGGAACCUUACCCGGGCUUAAAUUGCAUUUGAAUAAUCUGGAAACAGGUUAGCUGCAAGGCAAAUGUGAAGGUGCUGCAUGGUUGUCGUCAGCUCGUGCCGUGAGGUGUCGGCUUAAGUGCCAUAACGAGCGCAACCCUUAUCUUUAGUUACUAACAGGUCAUGCUGAGGACUCUAGAGAGACUGCCGUCGUAAGAUGUGAGGAAGGUGGGGAUGACGUCAAAUCAGCACGGCCCUUACGUCCGGGGCUACACACGUGUUACAAUGGGGGGUACAGAAGGCAGCUACCUGGUGACAGGAUGCUAAUCCCAAAAGCCUCUCUCAGUUCGGAUCGAAGUCUGCAACCCGACUUCGUGAAGCUGGAUUCGCUAGUAAUCGCGCAUCAGCCAUGGCGCGGUGAAUACGUUCCCGGGCCUUGUACACACCGCCCGUCAAGCCAUGAAAGCCGGGGGUACCUGAAGUACGUAACCGCAAGGAGCGUCCUAGGGUAAAACUG
This 1442-nucleotide ribosomal RNA is filed under the name uncultured organism. Its description in RNAcentral is "SSU rRNA". It matches the Rfam family "Bacterial small subunit ribosomal RNA". The record is from RNAcentral.